Molecule: non-coding RNA, 71 nt
Organism: Cordylochernes scorpioides
Lineage: Eukaryota; Metazoa; Arthropoda; Arachnida; Pseudoscorpiones; Chernetidae
Source: the annotation of a GenBank genome assembly
CCAUCGGUGGUUCAGUGGUAGAAUGCUUGCCUGCCACUCAGGCGGCCAGGGUUCGAUUCCCGGCCGAUGUA